CUAGGAUUAGAUACCCUAUUAUUGAAAAUGCAAAUUAUUAUGCUUGAGUAGUAGUAGUUAUGUUCUUGAAAUUCAAAAAAUCUGGCGGUAUUUUAGUCUAUUCAGAGGAACCUGUCCUGUAAUUGAUGAUCCACGAUUAAUUCUACUUAUUUUUAGUUUGUAUAUCGUCGUAGUUUGAAUGUUUCUAAAGAAAUUGUAAUAUUCAAGAUUUAUUUUAAAAUUAAAGGAAAUCAGAUCAAGAUACAGCGUAUAAAUAAGAAGAGAUGGGUUACAAUAAAUUUAUUUAAAUGGUUAGAAUAUUUAAAAUUAUUUUAUAAAGUGGAUUUGAUAGUAAUAUAGUUUAUUUAAAUUAUAUGAUUUUAGCUCUAAAAUAUGUACAUAUCGCCCGUCGCUCCUUCUCUAAAGAUGGAUAAGUC
This 416-nucleotide ribosomal RNA is filed under the name Cyclocephala amazona. Its description in RNAcentral is "partial 12S ribosomal RNA". The record is from RNAcentral. Lineage: Eukaryota; Metazoa; Arthropoda; Insecta; Coleoptera; Scarabaeidae.